This 324-nucleotide ribosomal RNA is filed under the name uncultured eukaryote. Its description in RNAcentral is "partial 18S ribosomal RNA". It matches the Rfam family "Eukaryotic small subunit ribosomal RNA", at positions 1470 to 1796 of the family's 1831-position model. The record is from RNAcentral.
CCCUUAGAUGUUCUGGGCCGCACGCGCGCUACACUGACGAUGGCAACGAGUUUUUCCUUCGCCGAAAGGUGUGGGUAAUCUUUUGAAACAUCGUCGUGCUGGGGAUAGAUCAUUGCAAUUUUUGAUCUUGAACGAGGAAUUCCUAGUAAGCGCGAGUCAUCAGCUCGCGUUGAUUACGUCCCUGCCCUUUGUACACACCGCCCGUCGCUACUACCGAUUGAGUGAUCCGGUGAAUAAUUCGGACUGCGGCAUUGACCGGUUCCCGAUCGUUGCUGCGGAAAGUUUAGUGAACCUUAUCACUUAGAGGAAGGAGAAGUCGUAACA